Molecule: long non-coding RNA, 2623 nt
Filed under: Marmota monax (woodchuck)
Lineage: Eukaryota; Metazoa; Chordata; Mammalia; Rodentia; Sciuridae
Source: RNAcentral
CACACGGUGAGAAUCUUCAUAGUAGAGCUCAUCCCAAAAAUUGUGUUCCCACCUAAGAUGACUGUAUUCUAUAAAUGACUUCUUUCAAUUUUGCAGCAAUCUCAAUUAAUGGAGCUUCAAUAACAGGGAUAAUUAAAAGUUCAAAAGACAUAUACAAGGAGGGAAAUAAAAGACUGGAAGCAGCCUGCACAUCAAAAUCCUCCUGGAACUAAGGAGAAACAAGUGGUUUGUACUUAAUGCAGAGAAUGUACCUACACAAUAGCUCCCGGAUUCCUCCUCUCCAUCUCCACUCCAACCUCUCUACUCCAAACCACCGUCAUCUCUCACCUGGACCAAUGUUCUAAUGUUCCCUAAAUGUUCUUCCCAGGUCUCCUCUGGUCCCUUCCAUGUUUCCUCCCUCAGGAAAGAAAGAGGGCUCUUAGAGAAUUGGCUGCUGAAAAACCUAUGGAGGGUUUUGUUUUUGUUUUUGUUCUUCCUGUUUAAGAAAAAAUACAAAAACUGCAAUGGGCCCAUCAUGCGCUGGAAGACCAGCCUCACCUACCCCUGGCUGCUCCUCCUCCUCAGUGCCCUUCAGCCAUGGAGUACUGCAUGCUAGUCUGCUCUCCAUUCCCAGAAGGCCUCAGAUGCACUCCAGCCUCAGGUCACUGUCACUCAACAGGCACUUGGAGAAUUGACUUUUGCUAAAAGCAGUGACUCUACCCAGGCGUGCAGGUGCCCAGUGGGUAACUACAAACAGGACAAAGCUUGGCAUCUCUGCCUUCAUGAUGUGUCUGUCCCCCUUAUUUCCUUAAACUUUGUGACCAGCUCAGCUCUGCACGUGAAUCAUUGAAGGAGCAUGCAUCUAAAAACUGGUGAUUCGAGGUUUAUUAGCCCUAAAUGCACCUAACCUGCCUUGUUCCCCUUCAAGACCGAGGCAAGAUUUGCAGGGUCGUUUACAACACCCUGUUUCUGACCCCUGGAGCUGUGCCUACAAGCCUCCAGUCAUUCAUUGCCCUGUGUCUUGCCUUCCAGGGACAGCAGAGCUUUGCAGGAACCUCACCCCGUUAUGAGAAUGCCCCCCCCCCCGAAGCAGCAGCAAUUGUUUCAUGGGAGAUCACAUAAAAUAUUCCUUGAAGCAAAUGGAGAUUGCCCCCUCAAGUGAUAAGAAGUUCUCCAGAGCCACCUCCUAGUACCAGAACGAAAUGAUCAAGUAAACCACAGUGUGAUCAAAAUUGCUUAACUAUGCAUGCCUGCCAGCUCCUGCCCCAAUUCUUCCUCUAGUUAAAACUAAAGCUCACCAGGUGCAGCCCACACACCUGUAAUCCCAAUGACUCAGGAGGCUGAGGAAGGAGGAUCACAAGUUCAAGAGCAGCCUGGGUAACUUGACAGGAUUCUAAGCAACUUAGCAAGACCCUAUCUCAAAAACUAAAAAGGGCUGGGCUGUAGCUCAGUGGUAAGCACCCCUGGUUUCAUCCCCAGUCCCAAAAGUAAACAAAUAAAUAAACCUAAAGCUCAUGUCGGCAUCCAGAAGACAGGGCUCAGAUGCUUGACCCUACUUGCCUUCCUGAUAUGGUCAUAUUGACUACAAAGUUCCUUUCCUGCUUUUCACUAUGGCCUCUUCUGUUUUGUUUUUUGGGGGAAAUUUAUAAACCUGAUUUGUUGAAACUCCCAGAGUCAGGCCUCUGGCACAGGAUUUUGGUAGCGUCCCCAUGGAGCUGAGGGUAUACUGGUGGAGCCAGACAUGAAUCAAUCAUGGCACAUAAGCACAGAGAAAACUGGCACUAUUGAUACAAGGGAGAGGGGGGUCACAGCUCCCUGAGAACCUGCCUCAAGGGAUUUUUUUUUUCUUGGCAGAGCCAGGGAUCAAACCCAGGGCCUUGUAUAUGCUAGGCAAGUGCUUCACCACUAAGCUACAUCCCCAACCCUUACACCAAAACUCCUGAGACAGAGGCUUCUGUGAAAUAAUAGUACUUACUGGAUGCUUAGGCAGAAAGGGACCAGGUCCUGGGACAAGUUCCUCAACUACCAGCAACAAACAGAGAGUAAUUACAGUGUGGCCACCAGGUCUAAGCCAAGAACAUUUUUAGAAUGUAAACAUGGAAGAAGAAAUGCAUAAAUGAGUUACCUUUUUGAACUGAAGUUCUCUGAAGAAGCUGCAUCUGUAUUAAAGAUCCUGCAGACUGCCUGAGCUUGGCCAACAAGAACUUUGGGAUUCUGGAGAGAUGGACUAUUGCGGGUCGGGAAGCAAAAUUAUCUUCUUGGACUGUCUUAGGCCCUUUCACCUGCCUUGUGUAUCUCACCUUACUUUCUGGUUACUAAUAAAUAAGAUUCUCAGAAUAUAUCACCGAGCUUCUUGGACUUCUGGUCUCCACCAGCCUUAAAGCUAAGAACAAUUUAAGAGAGCAUCUAGAACCUUAUAGAAAAGAUUUUCCCAUCCUGCUCUGGACAGCCUACCUGAUGCACCCAACAGUGCAAUUGGCAAAUGUAUGGAUUUAUGACUUUCUUUUGUUCUGUGCCUAUAAAAGUUCAUGUAAUCUCUUCCCCAUGGUUGAAAAUGUCAUCUUAGGGUAAAUUGAAUCCAUGUUCCCUGGCCAUGGUCACUCAGAUUUGUCUCUGAAUAAAGUAUGUUCUUAUUUAUUUAUUA